RNAcentral lists this small nuclear RNA (103 nucleotides) under Sorex araneus (European shrew). The record is from RNAcentral. Lineage: Eukaryota; Metazoa; Chordata; Mammalia; Eulipotyphla; Soricidae.
AGACUCUUUGGCAGUACAAGUACUAAAAUUGUCACGAUGCAGAAAAGAUCAGCCUGGCCCUACACAAGAAUGACCACAUACUUGUGUAGCAUUUCAUAUUCUU